AUACUUACCUGGCAGGGGAGACACCAUGAUCACGAAGGUGGUUUUCCCAGGGCGAGGCUCACCCAUUGCACUCCGGGUGUGCUGACCCCUGCGAUUUCCCCAAAUGUGGGAAACUCGACUGCAUAAUUUGUGGUAGUGGGGGACUGCGUUCGCGCUCUCCCCUG
RNAcentral lists this small nuclear RNA (164 nucleotides) under Rhinolophus ferrumequinum (greater horseshoe bat). RNAcentral describes it as "U1 spliceosomal RNA (ENSRFEG00010012023.1)". It matches the Rfam family "U1 spliceosomal RNA". Rfam says of the family: U1 is a small nuclear RNA (snRNA) component of the spliceosome (involved in pre-mRNA splicing). Lineage: Eukaryota; Metazoa; Chordata; Mammalia; Chiroptera; Rhinolophidae. The record is from Rfam by way of RNAcentral.